CCUGGCUCAGGAUGAACGCUAGCGGCAGGCCUAACACAUGCAAGUCGAGGGGCAGCGCGAUGUAGCAAUACAUUGGCGGCGACCGGCGCACGGGUGCGUAACACGUAUGGAACCUGCCCUGUACUGGGAGAUAACCCGGAGAAAUCCGGACUAAUAUCCCAUAACAACCGAGGUGGCAUCACCUUGGCUUGAAAGCUCCGGCGGUACGGGAUGGCCAUGCGCCCGAUUAGCUAGUUGGUGAGGUAACGGCUCACCAAGGCUACGAUCGGUAGGGGGCCUGAGAGGGUUAUCCCCCACACUGGUACUGAGACACGGACCAGACUCCUACGGGAGGCAGCAGUGAGGAAUAUUGCGCAAUGGAGGCAACUCUGACGCAGCCAUGCCGCGUGCAGGAAGAAGGCCCUACGGGUUGUAAACUGCUUUUAACCGGGAAGAAACCCCUUUACGUGUAGAGGGUUGACGGUACCGGAGGAAUAAGCACCGGCUAACUUCGUGCCAGCAGCCGCGGUAAUACGAAGGGUGCAAGCGUUAUCCGGAUUCAUUGGGUUUAAAGGGUGCGUAGGCGGGCCUAUAAGUCAGUGGUGAAAUCCUGCAGCUCAACUGUAGAAUUGCCAUUGAUACUGUAGGUCUUGAGUACGCUCGACGUAGGCGGAAUGUGCCGUGUAGCGGUGAAAUGCUUAGAUAUGGCACAGAACACCGAUAGUGAAGACAGCUUACGAGGGCGAAACUGACGCUGAGGCACGAAAGCGUGGGGAUCGAACAGGAUUAGAUACCCUGGUAGUCCACGCCGUAAACGAUGAUCACUCGUGAUUGGCGAUAUACGGUCAGUCACCUAGCGAAAGCGUUAAGUGAUCCACCUGGGGAGUACGAUCGCAAGAUUGAAACUCAAAGGAAU
RNAcentral lists this ribosomal RNA (895 nucleotides) under uncultured bacterium. RNAcentral's name for it is "bacterial SSU rRNA". It matches the Rfam family "Bacterial small subunit ribosomal RNA", at positions 18 to 910 of the family's 1533-position model. The record is from RNAcentral.